This 81-nucleotide transfer RNA is filed under the name Nilaparvata lugens yeast-like symbiont. Its description in RNAcentral is "tRNA-Ser (TGA) (tRNA-Ser-TGA-1-1)". It matches the Rfam family "tRNA". Rfam says of the family: Transfer RNA (tRNA) molecules are approximately 80 nucleotides in length. Their secondary structure includes four short double-helical elements and three loops (D, anti-codon, and T loops). Lineage: Eukaryota; Fungi; Ascomycota. The record is from RNAcentral.
GGCAGAGUGCCAGAGUGGUUAAUGGGUAGGUCUUGAAAACCUAUGGUUCCGGCCUCGCAGGUUCGAAUCCUGUCUCUGUCG